This 1239-nucleotide long non-coding RNA is filed under the name Oryctolagus cuniculus (rabbit). Its description in RNAcentral is "lncRNA (ENSOCUG00000035638.1)". Lineage: Eukaryota; Metazoa; Chordata; Mammalia; Lagomorpha; Leporidae. The record is from RNAcentral.
AUGCUGCGUGUGUCUGCAUGUGCAAUGCGUGUGGAUUUGUGUGUGCUUGCAUGUAUAGUGUGUGCCUACAUGUUAUGUGCAUGUGUGUGCCUCAUGUGCUUAUGCAUGACUGCAUGUGUGUAUAAUGUGUGGACUCAUGUGUGUGCCUGCAUGUCUGGUGUGUGCGCACCUGUUUAUGUGCAUGUGUGUGCCUCAUGUGCCUUGUGUACAUGUGUAAUCUGUGGAUUUGCGUGUGCUUGCAUGUGUAGUGUGCAUGUGCCUGUGUGUGUGCAUGAGUGUGUACUGUGUGCUGUGUAUGCCUGUGUGUGCGCACGUGUGGUACGGUGUGGGCUGAGGGAAGGGCCGUAUGGGACAGAGGCCGUGACCGCCUGUCUCCAGCAGGGCUCCCGUCUCACCGGGUGGAGCGGAGCCCGGGCCCGGGUCCCAGAGGUGCUGGCUCCGUCCCGGCGCCUGGCGCCCGGCAGACAGCAGCUCCUCCUCAGGGCCUUGUCCUUUGCGGACAGACUCGCCCAGGAGCCAAAAACUCCGCGUGCACAGCUGGUGAGAGCGGAGGAACUUGGGUUUCAUUCUGUUCCCAGAGCAUCAGCCGGGUUCCGGCAAUAUAGGACAGAGCGUUUGCCGUGGAAUGGGGCCCACCAGAGCCCGGUCUCCUACACGUGUGCUAUGACUAAAGCGAUCUUCGUCCCCAAACUGGGAACUCAUGGUGGUCCCCGAGCUGACUGUCCCAGCCUGGCACGGAGGCUGUGGUCCCAAAGGGGCAGGGGGCCCCAGGGGUCCCUGACUUGCAGGCCCCUCCCUCCGCUGUGGAGCCCCCGGGCCUCUGCAGGGGGCCUGCUGUGCGGCAGACCACACGGCGGACGCUGCAUCUCCAGCCUCUGCGUGGUGCCGGGGAAAACAGGUGAGACCAGUGCACCUGCCAGCCUCGAGCAGGCUCCAUCCUGCCAGCCCCCGUGCUGGGCCCGGGUGGCCUCGGCUUCCACACCCCGAAUCACCUGGAUCAGGCCGCCCUCACUGGGAGCCGGGGCCCCGUGGCUGAGAAUGCACCCCACUACCUGGGAGGACGAGGCUUGGCUGCCCACAGAAUGCUCGGGGACCAGCCAAGGGCGCGCCCGCGGGCGUGCUGGGCGGAGUCUCGCAGGGAGGGGGCAGGGGGUCUGGGCGGGUCUUUGGGCGGCGGUCUCCGUGGUAUCUAUUAGGUUUUCAGAGAAGCGUGGUCGUGGAGCUUUUCUCAGGCUCUGA